This 505-nucleotide ribosomal RNA is filed under the name Melasis buprestoides. Its description in RNAcentral is "partial 16S ribosomal RNA". The stretch from base 370 to 505 matches the Rfam family "Bacterial large subunit ribosomal RNA", at positions 2473 to 2610 of the family's 2925-position model. The record is from RNAcentral. Lineage: Eukaryota; Metazoa; Arthropoda; Insecta; Coleoptera; Eucnemidae.
CAUGUCUUUUUGUGUAUUAAUUUAAAGUCUAAUCUGCCCAUUGAUUGUAAUUUAACGGCUGCGGUAUAUUGACCGUACAAAGGUAGCGUGAUAAUUAGUUUUUUAAUUGAAAGCUGGUAUGAAAGAUUGGACGAGGAAUUUACUGUUUCAAUAUAUUUUUAUAAUUUUAUUUUUAAGUUAAAAAGCUUAAAUUUUUUCAUGGGACGAGAAGACCCUAUAGAGUUUAAUAUUCUUAAUUUUUUUUAGUAUUCCUAAUUUAUAAGAAUAUUUAGUUGGGGUGACUUAAAAAUUUAAUAAACUUUUUAUUUUGAAACAUUGAUUUUUGGAUUUUUGAUCUAUUUUAAUAAUUAAAGAUAAAAUUACCUUAGGGAUAACAGCGUUAUUUCUUAAAGAGUUCUUAUCAGAUAAGAAGUUUGCGACCUCGAUGUUGGAUUAAAAUUAAUAUUUGGUGCAGUAGCUGAUAUAUUAAGUCUGUUCGACUUUUAAAAUUUUACAUGAUCUGAGU